UACGUAGGGUGCAAGCGUUAAUCGGAAUUACUGGGCGUAAAGCGUGCGCAGGCGGCUUUGCAAGACAGAUGUGAAAUCCCCGGGCUUAACCUGGGAACUGCAUUUGUGACUGCAUGGCUGGAGUGCGGCAGAGGGAUGCGGAAUUCCAGGUGUAGCAGUGAAAUGCGUAGAGAUGUGGAGGAAUACCGAUGGCGAAGGCAGCCCCCUGGGCCAAUACUGACGCUCAUGCACGAAAGCGUGGGGAGCAAACAGG
Molecule: ribosomal RNA, 253 nt
Filed under: uncultured bacterium
Lineage: Bacteria
Description: partial 16S ribosomal RNA
Rfam family: Bacterial small subunit ribosomal RNA
Source: RNAcentral